This 26-nucleotide non-coding RNA is filed under the name Rattus norvegicus (Norway rat). The record is from RNAcentral. Lineage: Eukaryota; Metazoa; Chordata; Mammalia; Rodentia; Muridae.
UGGUCCAGCCUUCUUUUCUUUCUUGG